Molecule: transfer RNA, 63 nt
Filed under: Rattus norvegicus (Norway rat)
Lineage: Eukaryota; Metazoa; Chordata; Mammalia; Rodentia; Muridae
Rfam family: tRNA
About the family: Transfer RNA (tRNA) molecules are approximately 80 nucleotides in length. Their secondary structure includes four short double-helical elements and three loops (D, anti-codon, and T loops).
Source: Rfam by way of RNAcentral
GGGGAUUUGGCUCAAUGGUAGAGCGCUUGCCUAGCAAGUGCAAGGCCCUGGGUUCAGUCCCCA